CCUGCACACUGCACGCAAACUACACGAGCCGAGAAGCCGAACAAAGCCCAGACACGCGCAACCAACACAACACAACACAGCAGCCAGCAACCUCCACCUCCGUCUCCGUCCCCCGCCGCGGCCGCCGUCCUCCGCCGCGCGAGGCCGGGCUAGCUUACCCCCCCCCUCCGCUGCCGCGGCAACCGAAGCACCCCCACCCCCGACGACGAAGGCAGCAGCGCCUCGGGAGGCAGCGGGAAAGGCAGCAGCGUCGCGUCAGCAGCAGCGGCCGGGAGGUGAUCGCUUUCCCGCACUACUGCCCCCCCGGCCUCCGCGUUCGGAGGGGGAUAGGCCGCGCGGGAAGAGGCGUAAGCAGCAGCAGCGGCGGCGGCGGCGUGAGUACAUUUCGUGGCUUGCUUUAUACUAAGAGGGGUCGGGUUGGAGGGUUACUCUACUAGGAGAUUUUGUUGAGAUUCUACGUUGUGUUCCAAUUAUAUUUACAUGGCAUAUCUUUGCUAAGAGAUGCCGUCCUCUACACCCACAUCAGUGCAACCAGCACCAACUGUGCAACCAUUACCAUCAUCCACAGUAGGACAGAGAACUCGUAUUGACCUUCGUGAGAUAAAGUCAAACAUUAUUAAGAGGAUUGGUCCAGGGCGAGCAAAUAAGUACUUUCAGCAUCUAGAGAGGUUCUUAUCAUCGAAGUUGAACAAAAAUGAAUUUGAUAAGCUCUGCCUCGUGUCACUUGGCCGUGAAAACCUCCCAUUGCACAAUCACCUCAUCCGUUCUAUCCUCCACAAUGCAUGCCGUGCAAAUGGUCCACCAGCAGUUGAUGUGCCUAAGCUGACAGGAGAUGUUACUAAUUCAGAACAUUCGCUUCCUCUUGUUUGGAACAAUGGUAGUGUUUCAAACCAGCAUGUCAGAGACAAUAUAUCAUUGACCCUUGAGCAGGAGGGAAAAACUGUUGUUAGGGAAAAUGGUGUUCCAAAUUCUAGUGAUCUGAAGAGACGCCAACAGGUUCAGAAUGGUGAGCAUGCUGAGUCACGUUCCAAGCGAUCGCAUUUUGAAAAGGUGCCACCACAUUUUCAUGAGCCCCCCCACAGCAAUGACCCUUCUGCUAUAUCAUAUGGUGAAAGCUUGGGAAGUGAAAAUAUACACCGUAUUCAAGGUCCAGUGCGAGCUCCACUGGGGAUUAAAUUUUCCCCUGUUAGUUUUGGUGGGAUUCAGAAACCCUCUUCUGUCCCUUCAAAUGAUAGCUCUGUUAGUUGCUAUGAACUUGGUGAGUUAUGUGAUACUAUGCCACUGAGUAAGAGGAUGGAAAAAAUUGCAGAAGCAGCAGGUUUGGAAGGGGUCUCAGUUGAAUGUGCUAAUCUGUUGAAUAAUGGAGUUGAUGUUUUCUUAAAGCAGUUGAUUGGAUCUUGUGUGCAGCUAGUUGGAACAAGAUCACAGCUUGGGAAACUAAACCAUGCAUCACUAAAGCAGCAGUUGUCCCGUAAGCUAAUAAAUGGUAUAUCACUGAAAAAUCAUGUGCACGGACAGGGUAUCAUUGUUCCCGCGGGCCCUAACUCAAUCUCGAUACAAGACUUAAAAACUGUGUCAGAGCUAAGUCCACAUCUUCUUGGGGUUAAUGCAUCAUUUGUACAUGAGAAGAUUAAUUCAUAUGACUGAUUGGAUGGAGCAAGUUGGACCUUUUGCCCUUUCAAGAUUGUAUGGACUUGAUGGUGUGCCUUCAUGAUUUAUUUAUCCAGGUCCUUAUUGCUGAGUGGUGGAAAAUACAGGUGAACUUUGUACAGUAUGCUGACAUGCUGCUGUCUCGUCUUCAGGGCAACCUGUCGGACUAAGCAAGAUCUGCUUAUCUACCGGAGCCUGUACUAUUUAGAGUAGGACCAAUCCAUUGUGUGCCUAUACUCAACAGUAACGAGGCAUUAGUGCUUCAUACAGAACUAUGGUACUCGACACCAAACAAAUUGAAGAGCCAUGACACAGAAUUCUCUGAAAUACCUCAUGCUAUGUGGAAUGUCUGUACACAUGCCCUCUGCCUGUUUUGAACUUUUGAUGUACAACGUAUAAGGACUGAAAGUCAGGAUCCACGAUUUCUUCUCUCCAGGAUGUUCUCUGCAAACAACAGGAAGACAUGAUUCAACAAAACUCGGUUGAUAUUUCUCUGCGAUUCCCUAUGAGAACAACGAUUUUGCUCUUCUCCUGACCUGUGUUCACCGUCAGAAAGGUACAACAACAGAUGGCACCAUCUAAGUACAUUUCGUGGCUUGCUUUAUACUAAGAGGGGUCGGGUUGGAGGGUUACUCUACUAGGAGAUUUUGUUGAGAUUCUACGUUGUGUUCCAAUUAUAUUUACAUGGCAUAUCUUGGCUAAGAGAUGCCGUCCUCUACACCAACAUCAGUGCAACCAGCACCAUCAUCCACGGCGGGAGACAGAGCACUCGUAUUGACCUUCGUGAGAUAAAUCAAACAUUAUUAAGAGGAUUGGUCCAGGGCGAGCAAAUAAGUACUUUCAGCAUCUAGAGAGGUUCUUAUCAUCGAAGCUGAACAAAAUGAAUUUGAUAAGCUCUGCCUCGUGUCACUUGGCCGUGAGAACCUCCCAUUGCACAAUCACCACAAUGCAUGCCGUGCAAAUGAUCCACCAGCAGUUGAUGUACCUAAGCUGACAGGAGAUGUUACUAAUUCAGAACAUUCGCUUCCUCCUGUUUGGAACAAUGGUAGUGUUUCAAACCAGCAUGUCAGAGAAUAUAUCAUUGACCAUUGAGCAGGAGGGAAAAACUGUUAUUAGGGAAAAUGGUGUUCCAAAUUCUAGUGAUCUGAAGAUACACCGUAUUCACGGUCCAGUGCGAGCUCCACUGGGGAUUAAAUUUUCCCCUCUUAGUUUUGGUGGGAUUCCGAAACCCUUGGCCAUUGUUUCUGUCCCUUCAAAUGAUAGCUCUGUCAGUUGUUAUGAACUAGGCAAGUUAGGUGAUACUAUGCCACUGAGUAAGAGGAUGAAAAAAAUUGCAGAAGCAGCAGGUCUCAAUUGAAUGUGCUAAUCUGUUGAAUAAUGGAGUUGAUGUUUUCUUAAAGCAGUUGAUUGGAUCCUGUGUGCAGCUAGUUGGAAGAUCACAGCUUGGGAAACUAAGCCAUGCAUCACUAUACUCAACAGUAUAGUGUUUCAUACAGAACUAUGGUACUCGACACCAAACAAAUUGAAGACACAGAAUUCUCUGAUGUUCUUUGCAAACAACAGGAAGACAUGAUUCAGCAAAACUCGGUUGAUAUUUCUCUGCAAUUCCCUAUGGUGAAGAACGAUUUUGUUCGUAAUUGUCAUUUACUGGCAAAUUGCCCCAUCGUGAAGCAACAUUCAUACAUAGAAGAAACACAACAAGCCACUCCGAUGGCUGUUCCAUAUUGAAAGAUAUGAUGCAUCCAUAGCUUUUUUACGAUCAGUGUAACAUGUUUAUAUUGCACGUUGGUUCUGUCAAGUUUUUCCUGCAAAUAUCUGAAAACAUCCAUGAUUGUGUACCUCCUGCAAAUAUCUGAAAACAUCCAUGAUUGUGUACCUCUUUUAACUGUUAGGAUUCCGGAAACUGUAAAUAUUUGUUUAUAAAGUGGUAACCGGUGACAA
Molecule: RNA transcript, 3591 nt
Organism: Oryza brachyantha (malo sina)
Lineage: Eukaryota; Viridiplantae; Streptophyta; Magnoliopsida; Poales; Poaceae
Exons: 8
Source: RefSeq, a predicted model, not a curated record